RNAcentral lists this unclassified non-coding RNA (612 nucleotides) under Hevea brasiliensis (rubber tree). Lineage: Eukaryota; Viridiplantae; Streptophyta; Magnoliopsida; Malpighiales; Euphorbiaceae. The record is from RNAcentral.
GUCGUUAUUUUUUUUUUUAUGUUUUAAUUUGGAUUGUUGGGUUUAUUUGUUCGUGCGUAUUUUCAAUUGGGUAUGCUUUAGUAUUCUUAUACGCACGGCUUGGUUAGUUUGAUGGAAAUAUGAGAUUUUGCAUGGAAAUAUGUCUUCUUUGAUGCUGUGAGAUUCUUCCCCCUCCUUUUGUCUCCAAAAUUUGAAGCUUUUUCGUCUCAAUUUCAAAAUUUUUCCUUCUUUUAUCUCUCUCGCUCUCUCUUUUUCUCUCUCCUCCAGCUAUUUAAUUGUACAUUAUUCUUAAUUUGUUUCUACUCAAUUCUGCCUCGAGUAAUAGUCAGAUGAUACAAGAAUAGUUAAGGAUGAAUCAAUUUGUGCAAUCAGCUUAUAUCUUUUCCCAGUUGAUAAUCUAAUAACCAGAAUUUAUUCUUUUGCUUACUGUAGGCCCGAGCAGUCUAUGGAUUUCAAAAGCAACACAUUUCUUUACUAUUACAUGUUUUAUUCAUUAAGAGAAAAGGAAAGAAAGGUUUAUUUCUUUUCCUUCUAUUUUCAGGUUGCCUUAGGUUAUCAAAGGAAGUAAAAUGUGGAAGACCCCUUUGAUUGGAUGGAAUUUAUAUCUUUGCA